Molecule: ribosomal RNA, 876 nt
Filed under: Glossilus sp. 18sr36
Lineage: Eukaryota; Metazoa; Arthropoda; Arachnida; Trombidiformes; Eriophyidae
Description: partial 18S ribosomal RNA
Rfam family: Eukaryotic small subunit ribosomal RNA
Source: RNAcentral
ACAAGCCUGAGAAACGGCUAGUAGGACUAAGGUCUGCAGCAGGCGCGAAACUUACACAAUGCUAGAUUACAAUUAGCGAUGUAGUGAAGAAAAAUAACGAUGUACUUCCAUUUAAACAUGGUAGUACAAUUGGAAUGAGACGACUAUAAAUGAGUUAGUCGAGUAACAAAUGGAGGGCAAGUCUGGUGCCAGCAGCCGCGGUAAUUCCAGCUCCAUUAGCAUACAUUAAAGUUGUUGCGGUUAAAAAGCUCGUAGUUGAAUUUUAGGCGGGCUCUAUUGGGCGGCAUCCGUUAAGGUUUUCCUGAAGUAAGCCUGUUUCUUAAUUGAUCAGUAGCUGUCUGGUUAAAACUGGUUGUUUUGCCCUGAUAGGAACCCGCUGUUUCGUCACUUAAUCGAGUGCGAAGCGGGCUGGAACGAUGAGUUCGGUCCUCUUCGGAGGCAACCGUUCAUGUUACAGCAUGUUUACCUUGAGAAAAUUAGAGUGCUCACAGCAGGCAGUUGGGGUGUAAAAGCUCCUUUAUGCUUGAAUAAUGUUGCAUGGAAUAAUAGAAUACGGCCUCGGUUCUAUUCUGUUGGUCUUAUAGAACAACAAACAAGUUGGUUAAAGCGAUCAAAAGUCUCUUUGUGAGCGUGGCUUUGAGGGUGUUGUUUGGUUAGGAAUAAACUAGCCGUUACUCAUACGUGUCUCUAGUCUCUGUUGUCUGGGGCCUUAAAAUCUCAAUACAAGGAUGGUCAUGUUGGGGCGGUUUAUGUGUCUUUUUGGCUAACUUCAUACUCCUUGCUAUUUAACGCCUUCUUUAGUGGCUAGCUUUUCAAUCAACUGAGGCAAUGGUUAAAAGAAAUAGUCGCGGCGGCAUCAGUACUGCAUCGUGAGAG